UACGGAGGGUGCAAGCGUUAUCCGGAUUCACUGGGUUUAAAGGGUGCGUAGGUGGGUUGGUAAGUCAGUGGUGAAAUCUCCGGGCUUAACUCGGAAACUGCCGUUGAUACUAUCAAUCUUGAAUAUCGCGUAGGUAAGCGGAAUAUGUCAUGUAGCGGUGAAAUGCUUAGAUAUGACAUAGAACACCAAUUGCGAAGGCAGCUUACUUCACGAUCAUUGACACUGAGGCACGAAAGCGUGGGGAGCAAGACGG
RNAcentral lists this ribosomal RNA (253 nucleotides) under uncultured bacterium. RNAcentral describes it as "partial 16S ribosomal RNA". It matches the Rfam family "Bacterial small subunit ribosomal RNA", at positions 524 to 776 of the family's 1533-position model. The record is from RNAcentral.